This 82-nucleotide microRNA precursor is filed under the name Euprymna scolopes. Its description in RNAcentral is "Esc-Mir-750_pre stem-loop". The record is from RNAcentral. Lineage: Eukaryota; Metazoa; Mollusca; Cephalopoda; Sepiida; Sepiolidae.
AGUUGGAAGGUUAGGUUUUUGCAUAUAUACAUACAUAUAUAUAUAUCUCUGAACAAAUGCCAGAUCUAACUCUUCCAGCUCA